GAUGAAGAACGCAGCGAAAUGCGAUACGUAAUGUGAAUUGCAGAAUUCAGUGAAUCAUCGAGUCUUUGAACGCACAUUGCGCCCUCUGGUAUUCCGGAGGGCAUGCCUGUCCGAGCGUCAUUGCUGCCCUCAAGCACGGCUUGUGUGUUGGGCCCCGCCCCCCGAUCCCGGGGGGCGGGCCCGAAAGGCAGCGGCGGCACCGCGUCCGGUCCUCGAGCGUAUGGGGCUUUGUCACCCGCUCUGUAGGCCCGGCCGGCGCUUGCCGAUCAACCAAACUUUUUUCCAGGUUGACCUCGGAUCAGGUAGGGAUACCCGCUGAACUUAAGCAUACAAUAGCGGAGGA
Molecule: unclassified non-coding RNA, 343 nt
Filed under: soil metagenome
Description: partial contains 5.8S ribosomal RNA, internal transcribed spacer 2, and large subunit ribosomal RNA
Rfam family: 5.8S ribosomal RNA (bases 1-120)
Source: RNAcentral